CAAUGGCUUUAAAUGGUGAAGCUUGGCAGAUGAUAAACGAGGGAACAAUUCGGCCAAAGCAGCCUUUAGACUAUCAUCUUUUGUUGUUGGCUCGCCUUCAGCAAUUGAUACAAAAUCCACAUGGCCGGGUUCCUCAGCAACCACAUCUCCAUCGAGGAAAUUUGGUUGAGCCGUGCUUGAUUGAAAAUCAGCAGGUAACACAUGAACCAUAUUGAUUUCCAUAUUAUCCAAGACUGACGGGCCCAACUGGUCAAGACCUUCCUCGUUCGGUUGGUCAGCGACUACG
RNAcentral lists this long non-coding RNA (286 nucleotides) under Malus domestica (apple). RNAcentral's name for it is "long non-coding RNA (MDOM_LNC009183)". Lineage: Eukaryota; Viridiplantae; Streptophyta; Magnoliopsida; Rosales; Rosaceae. The record is from RNAcentral.